AACACAAAGGAUUACCUCAAAUUCCUAUGUGCCUUGGGCUACAGUAAAACACUAAUCUCGAUUUUCUCAAAUGAUAAGUUCAAUUGUCCCAGGACUAAUAUUAGUCUCGCCGAUUUCAACUAUCCUUCGAUCACAGUCCCUGAACUCAAGGGUUUAAUUACCUUGAGUCGAAAAGUAAAAAAUGUAGGUUCACCGACUACUUACAGAGUUACAGUACAAAAACCAAAAGGAAUUUCAGUGACUGUAAAGCCAAAAAUACUGAAGUUCAAAAAAGCUGGAGAAGAGAAAAGUUUCACUGUCACUCUCAAGAUGAAAGCCAAGAAUCCUACCAAGGAGUAUGUGUUUGGAGAGUUGGUGUGGUCGGAUGAAGAUGAACACUACGUAAGGAGUCCUAUAGUGGUGAAAGCAGCUUAAUUGAUUAAUUAGAAACAAUAAUGUUGGUUUAAGAUAUUAUAUUUUUUACCUUUGUGGUAGCAGGAAAAAGAAAUGCCUUCUAGUUUACACACCCAUGUUAUGCUUUAUCAAGAAUAAAAGUCUCUUGCUAUUUUUUUUUGCCAUUUUCGUUUUGUUAAUCAUAUCUAAUGGCCACAAAACUGCGAAAAUGUUGAAAUUCAUAAAUGCAAGAGAUGUUGGAGAUAGGAGGAAAAGGCUAGAGAGACUAAUGAGAAAACUCAAAAUUUUCUAUUGUACUUCUUACAAAAAACCUUUAAGUACAUGAUUAUUUAUAAACUAUAACUACUACAAUUAAUUGUAACUACCAACAAAUAUAAUAAAUCUAAUUUAUGAUCCACAACUGCUACCAAACCAAAUGAUAUAUAAAAACUCUAAUUUAUAAAUUUUAACUACUAACAAACUAAUUACUUAUAUUAUAAUUUACGAAUUAAUUCUUAACAUUCUCCCUUAAUUUGCAAAUCUUGUUUUCAAUCCAAGAUUAAUGCAUAGUUUUUGAAAGACUUCAAACUUGAGUGGUUUGAUGAAAAUAUCCACCACUUGAUCUUUAGUCUUUACGUGCUUGAGAUCUACUUCCUUUUUAGCAAUGCAAUCUUUAAUAAAAUAAUAUCUUGUGUCUAUGUGUUUGCUCCGUUCAUGAAAUACCGGGUUCUUGGCUAAUGCUUAUGCGAACUUAUUAUCAAUAAAAGUUUUAAUAGCUUCAUUCUAUAUUAAAUAAAGUUCUUUCAAUAAUUUUGUAAGUCAUCUGGCAUGACAAGCACAAGAGGUUGAUGUCACAUAUUCAGACUCACAAGUUGAUAGUAUAACAAUGACUUACUUCUUAAAACUCUAUGUAAUUGCACAAUCACCCAUUAAUAAUAAAAAAUCAGUUGUAUUUUUUCUAUCACCAAUAUUUCCAACGAAAUCACUAUUACAAAAUUUUACAAACUUGAAAUUAUUAGAAAAUGAAUAAAAUAACCCAAAGUCAAUAAUAUCUUUAAGGUAAUGUAGAACUCUUUUAGCAACAUUCAUUUGGGAGGUAGUAGCAGCUUCUACAAAACGACUUAUUAGUCCAACUGUAAAAAGAAUAUCAGACCUUGUAAAUGUCAAGUAUCUCAAACUUUCUAUAAGAUUUUUAAAGAGAGUGGGAUCUAUUUUUUCUCCAUUAUCAAACUUUGAUAACUUGACUCCACAUUCCAUCGGUGUGUUCACAAGAUUACAAUUAAGCAUUUUGAAUUUCUCUAAGACUUUUCUUGCAUAUCCUUAUUGAGAAAUAAAAAUACCAUCUUCCAUUUGCUUCACCUCAAGGCCCAAAUAAUAAGACAUGAGCUUCAUAUCUCAUUUCAAAUUCAAGUAAUAUGUUUUUCUUGAAUUCUUCAAACAAACUUGGAUUGUUGCUCGUGAAGAUGAGAUCAUUCACAUAUAGACACAUAAAUAUAGUAUCACCAUUAGAAUGAUACUUUACAUAAAGAACAUAUUCAUGAAGGCAACGAACAAAUCCGUUAUCUUCAAAAGACUUAUUUAUACAGCUAUUUCAUGCUCUUAGCGCUUGUUUUAGCCCAUACGAAGCUUUUUUCAAUUUCAACACUUUAUCUUCAGGCCCUUCAACCAUGAAACCCAAUGGUUGUUCUACAUAAACAUUUUCGUUAAGAUAGUCAUUAAGAAAUGUCGAUUUUACAUCAAGUUGAAAAAUUUUCUACUUUGUUUGAGCUGAAAUAGCUAAGAACAAGCGAAUAAUCUCCAUGCGAGCAACUGGUUCAAAAACCUCAUCAUAAUCAAUCCCAUGCUUUUGCUUGUAUCCUUUAGCCACAACUCUUGCCUUAUACCUUUUCACAUUUCCUUGAUAAUCUUCUUUAGCUUUAUAGACCAAUUUGACACCAAUAGCUUUAUAUCCCUUAGGAAGAGUGAGUAGCUCCCAUAUGUUAUUAUUUUCUAUGGAUUUGAUCUCUUCAUCCAUAACUUGUCUCUAUCUUGCAAUUUUGAUGACUUCAUCAAAAUUCAUUGGUUCACUGUCAAGAAAAAGAUAAAACAAAUUAUUUAUAUCAAAAUUAUUGAUUUUCUCAGUUUCAUCAUAAAGAUCUUGAAUGCUCUUCAACUUUCGUGGCCUUUCACUUGAACUUUCUUGAGAAGUGGGUGAUGCAACAUGAAUUGGAGAAUGAUGUGGAGUUAUCUCUUGUAAAGGUACCAUGGUCUCUUGGUCUUCCUUUUCAAAGUAUGGAAAGAAAUCAUAAGCAUUUUCUUCUUUCUUUUCUCAAUUCCAAGUCACUUUUUCAUUAAAUUCAAUAUCUCUACUUACCAUGAUCUUGUCAUUACUUGGAUUAUACAAUUUAUAUCCUUUUGAGUUUGUAUCAUACCCAAUGAAGAUAUGUUUGACACUUCAAUCGUCGAGUUUAGAUCUCUCUUGUUGUGGAACAUGAGCAUAUGCAAGACUUUCAAAAACUCACAAAUGGUUGACAUUAAGUUUCAUUUUGCUUAAUGCUUCUUGGGGAGUCAUAUUUUUUAAACUUGAUGUUGGAGACCUAUUAGAUAAAUAUAAUGCACAAGAAAUUUCUUCGGCCCAAAAUUCCUUGGGCAUAUUUUUUAUUUUCAACAUGUUUCUAGUCAUAUUAAGAAUAGUUUUAUUCUUUCUUUUUGCAACUCUAUUUUGUUGUGGUGAUCUUAGAACUGUUAAAGGGCGAUGAAUUCUAUUAGAUUUAAAGAAAUCAUAGAAUUCUUUGCAAGUAAAUUCACUUCAUCUAUCUGUUCUCAAAGACUUUAUUUCACAACUACAAUUUUUUUCUAUAAGAGUUUUGAAAAUUUUAAAAGUAACAAAAACAUCUAAUUUUUGCUUUAAAAAAUAUACAUAAAUUUUUCUACUAAAAUCAUCAAUAAAUAGUAGAAAGUAUUUAUUUUUAUCAAAUGAGAGUGGAUUGAUUGGCCCACACACAUCGGCAUUCACAAGUUAAAGUAGCCUGGUUGCUCUUGUAGUAGUUUCUUUUGGGAAACUCCUUCUUGAAUGCUUUCCAAGUAGACAUGCUUCACAUAAUUGAUUAGCAUGGUUGAUUAAUUGCAUCCCUUUCACCAUUUUUUCUUCUCCCAUCGCCUUAAGUGUGCCAAAGUUCAAUUGGCCGAAUCUCAUAUGCCAACAUCUUGCUUUAGAUGAACAUGUUAUUCUUUGACAUAUGCACCUUAGCAAUCAAAUUAACACUUUGAUCUCUAAGCGAAAGACAAUAACCUUUCAUAUGAAUUUCAUAUUCAUUUUCAAGAAGUUGACUUAAACUCAAAAUAUUAUUUUUUAACUUUGGCACAUAGUAAACAUUAGUAAUAAGUACAUACCCACAUUUUUUUUUGAAUAGAUUAAAAUUGUACAUUUUUCUUGAAUUUGAACUUUCGAAGAGUCUUUAAAGAAACAUUGUCAUUAAUCUUCUAAUCAAACUCCACAAAGUUUUCUUUAUUGGCACACAUGUGAUUGCUUGCUCCAUUAUCCAAGUACCAUGAAUUAUAGGUAUCACUAUCUCCCUCUUUACAUGCUAGCAACAAAGUUGUUUCUUUCUCAUUUUGUUUAUGAUUGACAAAGUUGGCUUGUUCCUCCUUCUUGUUUAAAGUGCUAUGACAUUCCCAAGCAUAAUGUCUAUAUUUGUGAUAAUUGUAACAUUCAAUAUUUGAUUUAUUAGAAUUCCUAUAUUUACCUCUUCCUCUUCUUCUUCUUAUUCUACGCCUCUAUUUGAGGGUUAACUUUUGUCUUCAUUAUCGACAUCAUCUUGAGUUUCAUUUUUUUAAAAUGUUUGACCAUGGCCACAACCCCGUCCUCUACCUCUUUCUUGUUCGCUUUGCUUUCGACCAUCAUUCAAAAAUGCAUUUGAUUUGAGAACUUGUUCCAAACGCUCUUCUUGUCUUCUCUUCAUUUUUUUUUUCUUCAUGAGCUUAUAGAGAUUCCUUUAAUUGUUCAAAUGUCAAAAUAUAUAGAUCCUUUUAUUCUUCAAUGGUACAAACCAUAUAGUUGAAUUUUGGUGGCAACAAUUAAAAAAUUUUCUGCACCACACAAACAUCUUCUGUCAUCUCAUCAUAUCUCUUUAUGUGGCUUACUAUAAACUUUACCCUUGAGCAAAAAUAUGAAAUGGAUUUAAAAUCCUUCAUUUGUAAAACUUCAAACUCGUCUCGUAAAGUUUGGAGUCGUACCUUCUUCAUAUUGUCGACUUCUUGGAGAGAAUUCUUCAAAAUCUCUCAAGCUUGCUUUGCGUUGGCAGCAUCAGUCACCUUUGGAAACAUAGAUUCAUCCAAACUUUGAUGAAUGAGUGCAAGGGAUUGUUGAUCCUUCUUCUUUGUUCUUGUAAAAAUAUCCUUCUCAUUUUGAGUUAAGGAUCCUUCAUCUUUGGAUGGAGUAAAACCUUUUUCUACAAUAUUCCACAUAUCUUAUGAGUCAAGUAUAACUUUCAUACAAAAACACUAACUAUUAUAGUUUUUUUUAUAAGACGAAAAAAUUGGAAAGAAAAUAGAUUAUGCUAAUCAUCUCUAGAAUUUUAACAAGGAACCAAACUCUGUUACUACUUCGUUGGAGAUAGGAAAAAGAGGUUAGAGAGACUAAUGAGUAGACUUAAAUUUUUCUAUUAUAAUUCUUAUAAAAAAAAAAAAAAAUCAAGUACAUGAUUAUUUAUAGACACUAUUACAACUAUUAAAUUUAAUUGUAAUCAUUAACACAUAUAAUAAAUCUAAUUUAUAAUUUACACCUAUUAUCAAAUUAAAAAAUAUAUAGAAAUUUUAAUUUAUAAAAUUCAAUUAUAAAACGAACCAAUUAAUUAUAUUCUAAUUUAUAAAUUAAUUCAGAGAUGAUUAUUUUGUUAAUAUAUACCAAAACUUAGCAGAGUGGGAAAAAAGAUCGAUUACAAAAUAGAGCUGUAUUACAUAUAUAUAUUAUGAUCGUUUCGGGAUAUAUCAAAGCGUGGUGACUUAAUUUUUGCUGCUUCUUAGCUUUGAAUUUCUCCUCAGCCGAAACCAAAAAGGCCCAAAAUCAAAUAGAGAAUUUCUCCAGAUUUAACAUGAGCCCUCUUUGGAAUUCCACAUAUGGAUAUGCUAUCGGUUGCUCAUUCUCUUCUGUUCUCCAUCUGCAAGCCCAAUUCUCCACAUGAUUUAGCCCAUGCACAAAAUAUAAUAUAUAUAUAUAUAUAUAUAUAUAUAUAUAUAUAUAAAACAUUUCAAAUUCAAGUCAACUUUAUAUUUUCAUCUAAAGAGUGAAAUAGUUGUCAUAUCUUAAUACCAGUACCUUAAUAAAAUUAAAAGUUAGAGCAGUUGAAAGCACCUGUGAUUAACUUGAAUAUAAAUUUAAGAUCACCCUUUUUUUUUUUUUUAAAGGGUUAAUCCGAUACCUAAUAUUACAUUAGAAAAAUACGUAAUUAUUGAGUUUUAUAUAAAAAUUCAAAUCACAUACUACCAAUUUCGACAGUUUGAAAAUAUAAAUCUGAAAGUUAUUGAAUUAGGAGUGCUUAAGUCAGGAAAAUUACAUAUUAAGCACUAAACCGAUCAUUCAUGAGAUUUACUAACUCAACAUCUAGGUCGGUAACAUAAGCUUAAUUUUAAAAUGUAGUUAAAAAUAAUUAUACCUGAAAUUCCGUACAAGGUGGUGGAGGAAGAAUGCAACCUCAACCUUGGCAAGUUCAGAACCUGGACAGCACCUAGAGCCUCCACCAAAGGGUGUGAAUUUCUUGCAUGUUUGAUCUUGGCUCUGGAGUACAUAAAUAAACAACAAUAACAACAAAUCAUUAAUUGAAUUUUAAUUAAAAAAUUAGAUGAGAUACGGUAAUUGAAUUAAACUAAUCCUUAAUUAAUUAGAUAAUAAUUAAUUACAUGAGGGCUAUGAACAGGCUAAUCUCUAUACCAAAAGAAAAAGUCAAUCACAUACAAAAUUUAAAAAGCAUUAUGUACCCCAGUUUAAAAGACUAAAAAGCUAUUAGCUUGUCCUACAUAUAUUGGUCCCCCACUCAACAUCAAAUUAUUAAUCAUGCCUUGUUUUUCUUAAAGCAGUAAUUAAGCAAAUAUAAAAAAAAAGUUAUGCAUUUGAUUAGCCAUUAUUGUUAAUUAAUUAGAUGUAAUUAUAUGAUAAAGUUACAUUAUUACCUCCCAUCUCCAAGGAUAGAAUUGGGGAGCACUUGCAUGGAGAGAUGGGUCUAAAUGUACUGCAGUAAAAACAGGUAGAACCUUCCAACCACAUGGAAUUACAUAAUCUGUCACAAAAUUAAUGUAAUUUAUAUUAACCCAAAUUUGUAUUUUAAUUAAGUAAAUCAAUUUAAAUAGUCAAAAACCUCUAAAUUUGACUUCUUUAAGGGCUUUUCUGUGCACAAAUUUUACAACGUUCCCAUAUCUGAGAGCUUCAUUGAUGACCUACAAAGAAAAUUAACAUGCAAUUAUCUAUAUCUAUAUAUAUAUAUAUAUAUAUAUAUAGUAAUAUUGAGCAUUGUAAGUAGUUAUAGUAUUGCUGGCAGCUGAGAAACAAAAAAGUGCUCUAGAGACUUCAUAUCAUCAUUGCAUGCUAGAAAUUACCAAAAAGAAAGAUAAUUAAUUAGUAAAUAUAGUCAAGAGUAAUUACAUGUUGGGUAAAAUCCAUUCUCCUGUAGUCUUCCCAGUUCAAAAACUCAUCUUUCUGCUUCAUGUUUCUGAUAGUCUCAUGCUCUACCUAUACGUUUUUGUGGACAUCAAGUCUUUUAUUAUAUAAAUUAUUGAAUGCAUAUACAUAUAUUUUAAGGUUUGAUGUAUGUAUAUAUAUAUAUAUACCUUUAACUGUCGUAAUGCAUUGGGUGAGUGAGCUAGAAAAUGCACCAGCAUUGCCAUUAAGAGAGAUGUAGUUUCAUAGCCACCCAGAAGAGAAUCAAGAACAAAGCUCACUUUUUCAUCUUCAGAUAAGGUAUCAACUCCCAGAAGUAUCCCCAGAAAAUCACUGCUACUACUUUUUCCACCAUUACUCUUUCUUCUUUCCUCUAUAAUUGCUUUGACAGUAGAAGAUAUUCUGCUUCUAGCCUGUAAAGAUGGUCAAACAAAAAGUUGAUCAUCACAUGCCUCCUUUUUCCAACCAAAAAGGAAACCCACCUCAAAACACAUA
Molecule: long non-coding RNA, 7498 nt
Filed under: Carica papaya (papaya)
Lineage: Eukaryota; Viridiplantae; Streptophyta; Magnoliopsida; Brassicales; Caricaceae
Description: long non-coding RNA (CPAP_LNC005785)
Source: RNAcentral